GAGAAGAACGUAGCGAAAUGCGAUAAGUAAUGUGAAUUGCAGAAUUCAGUGAAUCAUCGAAUCUUUGAACGCACAUUGCGCCCCCCAGUAUUCUGGCGGGCAUGCCUGUUCGAGCGUCAUUUCAACCAUCAAGCCCUGCUUGUGUUGGGGUCCUGCGGCUGCCCGCAGGCCCUGAAAACCAGUGGCGGGCUCGCUAGUCACACCGAGCGCAGUAGCACAUCUCGCUCAGGGCGUGCGGCGGGCUCCAGCCGUUAAAGCACCCACCUUUCGCAAGGUUGACCUCGGAUCAGGUAGGAAUACCCGCUGAACUUAAGCAUAUCAAUAAGCGGAGGA
This 333-nucleotide unclassified non-coding RNA is filed under the name soil metagenome. Its description in RNAcentral is "partial contains 5.8S ribosomal RNA, internal transcribed spacer 2, and large subunit ribosomal RNA". The stretch from base 3 to 119 matches the Rfam family "5.8S ribosomal RNA", at positions 38 to 154 of the family's 154-position model. The record is from RNAcentral.